GAAGAAGGUCUUCGGAUUGUAAAGCACUUUAAGUUGGGAGGAAGGGCAGUAAGUUAAUACCUUGCUGUUUUGACGUUACCAACAGAAUAAGACCGGCUAACUUCGUGCCAGCAGCCGCGGUAAUACGAAGGGUGCAAGCGUUAAUCGGAAUUACUGGGCGGAAAGCGCGCGUAGGUGGUUCACCAUGUUGGAUGUGAAAUCCCCGGGCUCAACCUGGGAACUGCAUCCAAAACUACUGAGCUAGAGUACGGUAGAGGGCGGGGGAAUUUCCUGUGUAGCGGUGAAAUGCGUAUAUAUAGGAAGGAACACCAGUGGCGAAGGCCCACCACCUGGACUGAUACUGACACUGUAGGUGCUAAAGCAUGAGGAGCACAUCAGGAUUAGAUACCCUGGUAAGUCCAACGCCGUAAACGAAUGUCCAACUAGACGAUUUGGCGGAAUCCCUUU
RNAcentral lists this ribosomal RNA (447 nucleotides) under Pseudomonas aeruginosa. Its description in RNAcentral is "bacterial SSU rRNA". It matches the Rfam family "Bacterial small subunit ribosomal RNA", at positions 407 to 840 of the family's 1533-position model. Lineage: Bacteria; Pseudomonadati; Pseudomonadota; Gammaproteobacteria; Pseudomonadales; Pseudomonadaceae. The record is from RNAcentral.